Molecule: long non-coding RNA, 317 nt
Filed under: Helianthus annuus (common sunflower)
Lineage: Eukaryota; Viridiplantae; Streptophyta; Magnoliopsida; Asterales; Asteraceae
Description: sRNA HanXRQr2_Chr06g0273761
Source: RNAcentral
UUCGUUUCUUCCUCUUCACACGAUUCAUAUACAACUUGUGUAUUCAAUCGAAUUCAUCGACAAAGCAUACCAAUCAUCUCUGUUCUUCACCGGAUUCAUCAGUGUUGGGGGUGCAGGAUAGAAUGUGUCGUUAGAUACAUGGAGCUUGCACAGGGAGGAGCAGGUCGUUGUGGAGCAUGGAUCGUGGAUGCCAUGUUAAAACAUUUGAACAUUUGAACUUAUGUUACACAUUGGGUUUUCAUACUUAUGCUUCCGCUAUACUUUGAAACUAUGAUUAUGUUUUGAACACCUAUCGUAUUGAAUGAUUGGUUUACAUU